GAAAGCCGUAUGAUGGGAAACUAUCACGUACGGUUUGGGAAAGGAUUUUUGGUUAAUGACAAAUAUAAAAGUUGCAAUUUCCCCUAAGGGACGGUUGAUCUUAUUUAUUUAUUGGGGGCAUUUUUCUAUUUCAC
Molecule: non-coding RNA, 134 nt
Organism: Chaetomium globosum CBS 148.51
Lineage: Eukaryota; Fungi; Ascomycota; Sordariomycetes; Sordariales; Chaetomiaceae
Source: Rfam